UUCAGACCAGAGUAGGGCUAAAAAAGCAUGAAUAGCAGGCGGAGCCGACCAUGUGGUAAUUUUGUAUUGAGGAGUGAGGUUAUGAAUAUUGGAAGUGUUUGGAUACUGUUGCCCCGGAGUAGGUCCUGAUGUAUGUUGUGGCGUGUCGACCAAAAUAGGAAAUUGUGCAUGUGACACUGGAGGCAAACUAGAAAGAUAUUCCAGAUUAUUUGCUGGAAAUGGAGAAGGCGGCAACCUAUUAGCCCAAGCUCGAUGCAUUUCUAUCAUUUGUUGUCUCAAUUUCCGAAUCUCUUCAUUAGCUCAUACAUUCUCAUUCCCCAAACUCCCUAUCUGAUUAGUGAUAACAAACUUGGUAUCCUUGUUGCCCAUAACUUUCACUGUGACUUGGAGCAAUAUGGAGGACCAGCCAAAAUGCCACAAAUCAACCACCUUAAACUAACUGGACAAGACAUAGCAAAUGCGUUAGAGUUCAACGAUUUUUCAAAACCAGUUCUUCUUUUUUUUUCUUGAAAAAAAUCACCGAACCCUAGAAGGGCGCCUACGUAUCUCACCCCCGAAAGGGGAGAAUCAGGUGUGCGUAGUUCGUGAAGUCAUGCCAAAAUGGCCAAUUGAACUCUUUUUCUUUUUUUUUUCCUCGAAACUUUAAGAAGAAAAGAAAAUAACAAUUUGUCAAAAGAAUUGACGAAAAUAUUUUUGAAUUUUUUAGCUUUAACAUCCCCAUACAAAGUGAAAUCUAUGAUUACCAAAGAAAAUCUUUUUUCUUCUUUUUUUUUCAACAAUUUCUUACCUACACACUUUGCUUCUAACUCAUGUUUUUGCCCAAACCAGUCGGUCAAAUAACCCUGUUACCCUCAAAAAUACAACAUUUAGCACGUAGGGAUGCCUUAGAGGUGAGUCUCCUACAAAGGGCCAAAUGGGCCCUGCUAGGUCUUCAAUAUGAUGCACAUAAGCAUGACCUAAAGACUGACCUACGUUGGGGUUCACUAACAAGGCUGUUCGGGGGAGCAUAUGGUCGAUAGUGGCUGCUUAGCUUUCCACCUACUCCAUACAUCCAACGGCUCCCUCCCCUAAAAUAAAGGUGACUCAACUAGAGUUCGUGCGCAUGGCGUGCACUCCGAGACUUGUUGCAAAAAUAAUGACUCGGGUUAUGCACAUGAUGUCAGAUAUAAAAGCGUUAACACAUAGGAUAAAUACUGUAAACAAAGAGCACGAAAACACACAAAAGUGAAAACACAAACAAAAGUCACAAACAAUACUUAUACACUCGUAAUGCAAACAAAGCCGAUACGACUCCAAAAAAGCUCGAAUUCUGAAAUUGUCCCCAGUAGAGUCGCCAGAGCUGUCACACCCCAUUUUUCAACUCAAAAAAAGAAUCAUUUUAAGGUUCGAAAGGGUUUUUAUUUAAAGUGAUAAAAUGAAGAUUUGUUUAGAAAGGGACCUUUUACAUUCAAAACUCAGAGUCGCCACCUGGCAUAAUCCGGUGUGCCAAGUCACCUUUGAAAAAUCCUUUUCGAAACGGUUUGACUCUAAAAAAAAAUUGAUCCGCGAACAAAGAUUUUGGCUAAGGAAUUCUGUUGAUCGAGGGGAAGGCGUUAGGCACCCCUCGAUCCCGUGGUUCGACCACGGUCGCUUGGUGGGGCGUAUCGGCUAAUUUGACAUUACAAAUGUACAAACCACAUAAACGCACAAAACAAGCAAACAAACAAAUCACAUAAAAUUCAAAACAAACCAAAAUAAUGUUCAAUCCAAAUUAUACAAUCCAAAAUAAAAGAGGUGCUGAAAUAUAAAACCUAUUCUAUUCUAAACUAAUCCUAAACUAAACUCCACCCGACGUUCCGGGCCUUGAUCACGAGCCUCCUUUGCGUACAUACUACUUCGGGGCAUUCCCCGGAUAAAUCAAUACAAAUCUUUCGGGGCAUUCCCCGACCAAAUGAGUACAAUUUAAACUUUUCGUGCAAUAAAAUAGAAAGUACCAUUCACGCACAUAUUCAAACACUCCAACAAAUCGUUAUUCCUAAAUUUUCCUACCCAAUUUAUUGCUUACCUAACAAUCCACGGCCUAAAACAUAAUACUAUCGAACUUAACGUAGUCGACGUUCAUUCCGAAUCAGGCAAUCAUCGUUGAACCAACAUAAAUCAACGUUCGCUUUUAACAAUUUUCGAUCUUUUUCCCCAAAAUCCAACUUAACCCCAAAUCAACUACGUGAUUAACAUACUUCACACAAGGAUUAACAAUCAGCUAACGACGAGUAAAAUCACUUCAACCAAAUUCAACCAAAAAUCACACCAUUCAAAAAUAUUCACGAAAAAAAGAGAUAAGAGAUAUAGAAUUGGACCUCGAUUCAAAGGUUUUGAAAUUCAAUAAUACUUCAAUGAGAGAACAGAAUCCGGUCAAAGAACCUCGAUUCGAAACCUCCGUUCGAACCCCAACAGAUUGACAAGACCAAAAUCAACAGAAAAAUGUCAAGACGAACACCAACUCAAAUUAAAUCCAAAAAAACAGGACGAACAAACCUGAAACCAGUAUUCUCAGCUCUAAACCCCAAAACUAAAUCGAAUCUUACCAAAACUGGAAUCUAGAAUGAGAUUUUUGUAUCCGUUUGAGCUGCGGAUGGAAUUUCGACGAGAUUUGAGCUAGAAAAUGAAGGGGAGAAUGGCGUUCCGACGUGAGUUCGGUCGGAGUGAACCUGGUGACGCUGUUCUCUGUAGGUUUUGCCGGAUUUCCCUCUCUCCCCUAUUUGCUGGCUGCUUCAAUCUUACUCUUAUUCUCUUUUUCUCGCUCAAUCUCUCUCUCUCGUCUCUCUUUUUAUCUUCUUCUCCGAUCCUCUCUAUUUUGUUUCAAUUUCUCUCUACCCGUUCUUCAGCUCUCCAAAUUUCGAUCGGGGCCUGUCUAGGCGUGGCUGUGUGUAUUCAGGAAUAGAGAAAGUUUGUGUAUGUACUAUUUUCAGUGAGGAUUCUGUGAUAUCUAUUUUCUAGUGUGUGCAGGUAUGUGUGUAGAUGAUGAAGAUGAAGCAAAAGAAAAAAAAUCCCCAAAAAAAUGGCCUCUUCUGUGUGCCUUUUGGUCAAGAUGAUGAUCCAGCCCCUCUGUGUAUAUAUCUCUGUAUUUAUGUGAUGAUUCCCCCAAUUUUUUAUAGUGGUGGGCCUCCAAUAAG
Molecule: long non-coding RNA, 3152 nt
Filed under: Capsicum annuum
Lineage: Eukaryota; Viridiplantae; Streptophyta; Magnoliopsida; Solanales; Solanaceae
Description: long non-coding RNA (CANN_LNC016530)
Source: RNAcentral